RNAcentral lists this long non-coding RNA (302 nucleotides) under Elaeis guineensis (African oil palm). RNAcentral's name for it is "long non-coding RNA (EGUI_LNC013993)". Lineage: Eukaryota; Viridiplantae; Streptophyta; Magnoliopsida; Arecales; Arecaceae. The record is from RNAcentral.
UGGUCAGUUCAGAUAUUGCCAUGUGUCAUCAUCUGGUAGACCUUCGAUUUGACCACCUUCAUCUCGAUCGUUGAGGGAUCCUAUAUAAAGGGUCACUCUCAAUCAAAUUUUUAUUUUUCACUAUUUUUGAUGCUGGAACUCUAUCGGAUUGUUGCCCCAACAUCCAAGGUUAUCACUAUCAACUUUCAGGUCAACUUCAUCUUUCUUUCGAGUCCUUUCCUCUAAUGUCUCUAUCUUCUUCAGAGUUAUUUUCAUGGCUAGGGCUUCUCCUUCUCGAGAAGAUCGGUCAGAGAAUCUGACUG